CACUAUCUUCUUCAGAAUCAUCAGCAAAAGAGUUCUGAACAUCGUCAUCAUCCUUACUUAAUUCUUCAAUUUCUUUAACUUUUCUUUUCUUCACGUAUUUUUUAAUUUUUUGUUCCUUUGAAGAAGGAUUUUUCUUCAACUCUUUUUUUUUUUCAAAAUUUCAGUCAUCUUCUCCGGGUCGUUGCGAAACUUCGACCUAAUCUUCUUCGAUCUCCCAAAUUUCUUCGACUGUAUAGAAUUUGAAACAACUUUAACUACAUCUUCUUAAGUUAACCCAAGACUAAAAGAUGGUCCAUAAUCAGACACCAAAUUAAUAUUUUAUAUACCACUAUUUGUUUGAGAUUUUGAUGUUUGUUCAUCCAUUAAAGCAUAAAAAUCUUAAAAUCUGAUUUUGAGAUGUAUUAUAGUUGAAAAAAAAAAAGAGAAAACGCUAACAUGCAAUACCUGAAUUAAAGAGUUACC
This 462-nucleotide long non-coding RNA is filed under the name Capsicum annuum. Its description in RNAcentral is "long non-coding RNA (CANN_LNC004473)". The record is from RNAcentral. Lineage: Eukaryota; Viridiplantae; Streptophyta; Magnoliopsida; Solanales; Solanaceae.